This 223-nucleotide long non-coding RNA is filed under the name Cervus elaphus hippelaphus. It matches the Rfam family "7SK RNA", at positions 6 to 230 of the family's 331-position model. From Rfam's summary of the family: 7SK was discovered as an abundant small nuclear RNA in the mid-70s but a possible function has only recently been suggested. Two independent studies have found that 7SK RNA binds the CDK9/cyclin T complex (known as elongation factor P-TEFb). P-TEFb activates transcription by phosphorylating the C-terminal domain of RNA polymerase II. Lineage: Eukaryota; Metazoa; Chordata; Mammalia; Artiodactyla; Cervidae. The record is from RNAcentral.
UGAGGUCAUCUGGCUUUGGCAUCUGUCACUCCUUUGUCUGCAGAGCUGACUUUAUCUGUUUAAUUAGUUGGAAAGGUGGCAUCCUCCUCCCUCACUGGUCCAUGUGUGGCCUGCCUCACACUGCAUCCCAAGGCAAAAGAGUUGAUCUUUUAAGCUCUAUCUGGGCUCCUCUUUGGUCAAAGGUAUCUGAAUAGCUGAGUUAUUUUAGUGGAAACUCUGAAUA